RNAcentral lists this ribosomal RNA (253 nucleotides) under uncultured bacterium. RNAcentral describes it as "partial 16S ribosomal RNA". It matches the Rfam family "Bacterial small subunit ribosomal RNA", at positions 524 to 776 of the family's 1533-position model. The record is from RNAcentral.
UACAGAGGGCUCAAGCGUUGUUCGGAUUCAUUGGGCGUAAAGGGUGCGUAGGUGGCGCGCUAAGUCAGGUGUGAAAUUUCGGAGCUUAACUCCGAAACUGCAUUUGAUACUGGCGUGCUUGAGGACUGGAGAGGAGACUGGAAUUCAUGGUGUAGCAGUGAAAUGCGUAGAUAUCGGGAGGAACACCAGUGGCGCAAGCGGCUGCCUGGGCAUGACCUGACACUGAGCCACGACGGCGUGGGGAGCAAACGGG